AGAGUUUGAUCCUGGCUCAGAACGAACGCUGGCAGCGUGGAUGAGGCAUGCAAGUCGAACGGUUCAUUUUUAUAGCAAUAUGAAAAAUGAAUAGUGGCGGAAGGGCGAGUAAUGCGAGAGCAAGCUACCCUUAGGUUUGGGACAACAUCUGGAAACGGAUGCUAAUACCGGAUACGAAGCGCAACCGCAUGGUUGUGUCUUGAAAGAUGGGGACCCGCAAGGGCCUGUCGCCGAAGGAGGUGCUCCCGUGCCAUCAGCUUGUUGGUAAGGUAAUGGCUUACCAAGGCUUACGGCUAGGUGGACUGAGAGGUUGGUCACCCGCACUGGGACUGAGACACUGCCCAGACUCCUACGGGAGGCUGCAGUCGAGAAUCAUUCGCAGUGGGCGAAAGCCUGACGAUGCGACGCUGCGUGUAGGACGAAGGCCUUCGGGUCGUAAACUACUGUCAUGUGGGACAAGGGUGUCGGUGUUAAUAGCACCAUGCACUGGAUGGUACCACAAGAGGAAGCCACGGCUAACUCUGUGCCAGCAGCCGCGGUAAUACAGAGGUGGCAAGCGUUGUUCGGAUUUGCUGGGCGUAAAGCGUGCGAAGGCGGUCGCGUGUGUUGGAUGUGAAAUCCCGGGGCUCACCCCCGGACGUGCAUCCAAAACUGCGUGGCUAGAGGCCGGGAGAGGAGUCUGGAACACAUGGUGUAGCGGUGAAAUGCGUUGAUAUCAAAAGGAACACCGGAUGCGAAGGCGAGACUCUGGAACGGAUCUGACGCUGAGGUACGAAAGCGUGGGGAGCAAAAAAAAUUAGAUACCCUGGUAGUCCACGCCGUAAACGGGUGCACAUUUGCCGUAGGGGGAAUUGACCCCCCCUGUGGCGUAGCUAACGUGUUAAAUGUGCCGCCUGGAGAGUACGGCCGCAAGGUUAAAACUCAAAGAAAUUGACGGGGACCCGCACAAGCAGCGGAGCAUGUGGUUUAAUUCGAAGCAACGCGAAGAACCUUACCAGGACUUGACAUGCCCUUGCCCGUUCUAGAGAUAGGCAAUUAUCCUUCGGGAUACAGAGGACACAGGUGGUGCAUGGUUGUCGUCAGCUCGUGUCGUGAGAUGUUGGGUUAAGUCCCGCAACGAGCGCAACCCUUGUCUUUAGUUGCUAACAAGUAAAGUUGAGCACUCUAGAGAGACUGCCGAUGAUAAAUCGGAGGAAGGUGGGGAUGACGUCAAAUCAUCAUGCCCUUUAUGUCCUGGGCUACACACGUGCUACAAUGGUCGGUACAACGAGGAGCCACACAGCGAUGUGAAGCAAAUCUCUAAAAGCCGAUCCCAGUUCGGAUUGCAGGCUGCAAUUCGCCUGCAUGAAGUCGGAGUUGCUAGUAAUCGCGAAUCAGAAUGUCGCGGUGAAUGCGUUCCCGGGUCUUGCACACACCGCCCGUCAAG
This 1426-nucleotide ribosomal RNA is filed under the name uncultured bacterium. RNAcentral's name for it is "bacterial SSU rRNA". It matches the Rfam family "Bacterial small subunit ribosomal RNA". The record is from RNAcentral.